UAUUUUAAUUGGGGUAGCCCCCCAAAUAUUGGGACAUAUAAAAAAAGACAACUCUGUCGCAGAGUAGCUGUUGACAUUACAGUUGCGCAGGAACUUUGUUGACUCUAGAGAACCUCUGGCAAAUCCAUAUCAACUUCCGAUGCUAGUUUCUACACCUACCAUGGUGACCAUGGGUAAUGGGGAAUCAGGGUUCCAUUCCGUACAGGGACCCUGACAAAUGGCUACCACAUGCAAGGAAGGCAGCAGGCAUGCGAAUGUCCCACUCCCGACGCAGGAAGGUAGUGACGACAAAUAACAAUACAGGACUCUUUAGAGGCCCUGUAAUUGUAAUGAGUCCACUUGAAAUCCUUUAACUCUGAUCAAUUGGAGAGAAGUCUGGUGCAGAGCCGCUGACCCGUGCAUGCUGCAGCUGAAACUCCACUA
Molecule: ribosomal RNA, 423 nt
Filed under: Pelobates cultripes (western spadefoot toad)
Lineage: Eukaryota; Metazoa; Chordata; Amphibia; Anura; Pelobatidae
Rfam family: Eukaryotic small subunit ribosomal RNA
Source: RNAcentral